This 253-nucleotide ribosomal RNA is filed under the name uncultured bacterium. Its description in RNAcentral is "partial 16S ribosomal RNA". It matches the Rfam family "Bacterial small subunit ribosomal RNA", at positions 524 to 776 of the family's 1533-position model. The record is from RNAcentral.
UACGAAGGGGGCUAGCGUUGCUCGGAAUUACUGGGCGUAAAGGGCGCGUAGGCGGAUAGUUUAGUCAGAGGUGAAAGCCCAGGGCUCAACCUUGGAAUUGCCUUUGAUACUGGCUAUCUUGAGUACGGGAGAGGUGUGUGGAACUCCGAGUGUAGAGGUGAAAUUCGUAGAUAUUCGGAAGAACACCAGUGGCGAAGGCGACUCACUGGACACGUAUUGACGCUGAGGUGCGAAAGCGUGGGGAGCAAACAGG